RNAcentral lists this ribosomal RNA (563 nucleotides) under Aureococcus anophagefferens. RNAcentral's name for it is "LSU rRNA". It matches the Rfam family "Eukaryotic large subunit ribosomal RNA", at positions 36 to 650 of the family's 3401-position model. The record is from RNAcentral. Lineage: Eukaryota; Pelagophyceae; Pelagomonadales; Pelagomonadaceae.
AAGCAUAUAACUAAGCGGAGGAAAAGAAACUAACAAGGAUUCCCCUAGUAAGGGCGACUGAAGCGGGAUCAGCCCAGAUUGUAAACUGACCUUAMUCAAGGUUGGGUUGUAGUCUAAAGAGGCGACGCCAGGCAAGGUCCGGGGAGAAGUCCCUUGGAACAGGGCAUCGGAGAGGGUGACAAUCCCGUCUGUGCCUCGGACCGCGUCGUACGGUGCGUCUUCGACGAGUCGGUUUGCUUGGGAUUGCAGACCAAACGGGUGGUAAAUUCCAUCUAAGGCUAAAUACGGGUGGGAGACCGAUAGCGAACAAGUACCGUGAGGGAAAGAUGCAAAGAACUUUGAAAAGAGAGUUAAAAAGGGCCUGAAACUGGUAAGAGGGAACCGAACGGCAGAAGUGGUGAUGGGCGCGUAUUUUCCGCCGGGCUCUUGGCCGGCGUACUUGUGCGCGUCCGUAGGUCAGCGUGGGUUGGGGCGUGGGAGUCGUUCAUGGGAAGGUCUUCGGACCAAUCUCGUGUUCAGGCCGCGCCUGAGACCUUCUGUGACAAAAUUCUUCCGUUCACCCC